UUUUGCAGUAGAGGACGCAAUGAUCAUUAGUAGUCUGUCGGAUGAACCUUAAUUCAUACGAAGACAGGUGAAAGGGUGAUUUGCCGAAGUGAUCUGGUAAUUAAGGGAUCAGGUUGCUGGGAUCGUGAUUAAGAGUCACGGAACUGUCGUCAGAUUUAUCUGAUGGAGUGCUACUUAUAGA
Eubacterium ruminantium is the source of this 181-nucleotide non-coding RNA. Lineage: Bacteria; Bacillati; Bacillota; Clostridia; Eubacteriales; Eubacteriaceae. The record is from Rfam.